RNAcentral lists this ribosomal RNA (119 nucleotides) under Brassica napus (rape). The record is from RNAcentral. Lineage: Eukaryota; Viridiplantae; Streptophyta; Magnoliopsida; Brassicales; Brassicaceae.
GGGUGCUAUCAUACUAGCACUAAUGCACCGGAUACCAUCAGAACUCUGCAGCUAAGCGUGGUUGGGCGAGAGUAGUACUAGGAUGGGUGACCUCCCGGGAAGUCCUCAUGUUGCACCCC